UGGGGAAUAUUGGACAAUGGGGGAAACCCUGAUCCAGCCAUCCCGCGUGUGCGAUGAAGGCCUUCGGGUUGUAAAGCACUUUUGGCAGGGACGAAACGUCAUGGGUUAACACACUGAGCAACUGACGGUACCUGCCGAAUAAGCACCGGCUAACUACGUGCGCGCAGCCGCGGUAAUACGUAGGGUGCAAGCGUUAGUCGGAAUUACUGGGCGUAAAGCGUGCGCAGGCGGUUCGGUAAGAAAGAUGUGAAAUCCCAGGGCUUAACUUUGGAAUUGCAUUUUUAACUACCGGGCUAGAGUGAGUGAGAGGGAGGUGGAAUUCCGAGUGUAGCAGUGAAAUGCGUAGAUAUGCGGAGGAACACCGAUGGCGAAGGCAGCCACCUGGGAUAACACUGACGCUGAGGCACGAAAGCGUGGGGAGCAAACAGG
RNAcentral lists this ribosomal RNA (429 nucleotides) under Acidobacteriota bacterium. RNAcentral's name for it is "Acidobacteria bacterium partial 16S ribosomal RNA". It matches the Rfam family "Bacterial small subunit ribosomal RNA", at positions 355 to 776 of the family's 1533-position model. The record is from RNAcentral. Lineage: Bacteria; Pseudomonadati; Acidobacteriota.